This 253-nucleotide ribosomal RNA is filed under the name uncultured bacterium. RNAcentral's name for it is "partial 16S ribosomal RNA". It matches the Rfam family "Bacterial small subunit ribosomal RNA", at positions 524 to 776 of the family's 1533-position model. The record is from RNAcentral.
UACGAAGGGGGCUAGCGUUGUUCGGAAUUACUGGGCGUAAAGCGCGCGUAGGCGGCUUUCUAAGUCGGGGGUGAAAUCCUGGAGCUCAACUCCAGAACUGCCUUCGAUACUGGAGAGCUCGAGUCCGGGAGAGGUGAGUGGAACUGCGAGUGUAGAGGUGAAAUUCGUAGAUAUUCGCAAGAACACCAGUGGCGAAGGCGGCUCACUGGACCGGUACUGACGCUGAGGUGCGAAAGCGUGGGGAGCAAACAGG